Gopherus flavomarginatus (Mexican gopher tortoise) is the source of this 438-nucleotide long non-coding RNA. RefSeq lists it as uncharacterized. NCBI's taxonomy places the organism in Eukaryota, Metazoa, Chordata, Testudines, Testudinidae. The transcript has 3 exons. The record is from RefSeq and is a predicted model, not a curated record.
GGGGCACCAGCGGAGCUGCGGGUGGAGGGGGGGGGCCAGGGCUGGGCUAGCAGGGGGCUGCAGGUCGGGAGUGAGGGGCACUGGCAGAGCUGGGGGGCCCAGGGCAGGGCUAGCAGGGGCUGCAGGUCGGGAGUGAGGGGCACCAGCGGAGCUGCGGGUGGAAGGGGGGCCCAGGGCAGGGCUAGCAGGGGGCAGCAGGUUGGGAGUGAGGGGCACCAGCGGAGCUGCGGGUGGAAGGGGGGCCCAGGGCAGGGCUAGCAGGGGGCUGCGGGUCGGGAGUGAGGGGCACCAGCGGAGCUGCGGGUGGAAGGGGAGCCCAGGGCAGGGCUAGCAGGGGGCUGCAGGCUGGGAGUGAGGGGCACUGGCAGAGUUGGGAGGGCGGGGGGGGGCAAGCAGGGGGCUGCAGGACACAGGCAGAGCUUGCGGAGGGGGAACUGC